Molecule: long non-coding RNA, 772 nt
Organism: Mobula hypostoma (lesser devil ray)
Lineage: Eukaryota; Metazoa; Chordata; Chondrichthyes; Myliobatiformes; Myliobatidae
Exons: 4
Source: RefSeq, a predicted model, not a curated record
GGCUGCCCGAGCCGCCGCCAUUAGGGACGUUGACUCGGUUGCAGGGGCUGAGGUUGCUCCCUCCCGCCGCCAUCUUGAAGUGGCGUCUGUUUACAAACAGCGAGCUCAACAGCGUGGCCCUCCGUAAAGGAGGCUGGGAGUGACAGAAAUCAUCAGGUGAAAAUCAUCAUUGGGUAGGAAUUUGGACCAGGAACCUUGGCUGUUUCUUCAGUUCUAGCGGUGCAUCAGAACCAACAGAAUGCAAAUGCAGAUGGGCACAUCUACAAACAGUGUCGCCACAAGAAAGCAGCAGCGAUCAUCCAGGCACGCUCUCUUCUCUCUGCUGCCAUUGGGAAGGAGGUGCAGGGGCCUUAGGUCCCACGCCACCAGGUUCAGGAGUAGUUAUUACCCUUCAACCGUCAGGCUCCUGAACCAGCGUGGGCCUCUUCAAUCAGCACAACACUGAACAUAACCAUAGACUCACUUUCAGCUAUACUAACUGGGUGCAUCACCGUCUGGUAAGGAGGGGCCGCUGCACAGGAUCGGAAAAAGCUGCAGAAAGUUGUAAACUCAGCCAGCUCCAUCAUGGGCACCAGCCUCCUCAGCAUCGAGGACACCUUCAAAAGGCAAUGCCUCAAAAAGGCGGCGUUCAUCAGUAAGGACCCCCAUCACCCAGGACAUGCCCUCUUCUCAUUGCUACCGUCUGGUAGGAGGUACAGAAACCUGAAGACACACACUCAGUGUUACAGGAACAGCUUCUUCCCCUCCACCUUCAGGAUUUCUGAGUAGACAA